ACCCCAACUUGGACAAACUUGAAAACUGGGCCCAUAAUCAAAAAUCUAAACACAUGUUUAGAUUCAGCAUAUCAAAGAACCCCAAGAAUUCAAUUUUUGUUAAAAUCAAACUAAGUUUAAUUUUGGACCCUUUGGACCUUAAUGUAGACCAAUUUAAAAAACGGGACUUAAAAUUAAAAAUCUAAAUACACGGUUAGAUUUGGAAUAUCAAAGAACCCCAAUAAUUCAAUUUUUGAUCAAAUCAAACAAAGUUUAAUUUUGGACCCUUUUGACCUCAAUAUGAACCAAUUUGAUAGCGGGGCCCACAAAUAAAAAAUCUAAAUUCAUGGUUAGAUUCAGCAUAUCAAAGAACCCCAUAUAUUCAAUUUUUGUUGAAAUCAAAAAAAGUUUAAUUUUGGACCCCAACUUGGACCAACUUGAAAACUGGGCCCAUAAUCAAAAAUCUAAACACAUGUUUAGAUUCAGCAUAUCAAAGAACCCCAAGAAUUCAAUUUUUGUUAAAAUCAAACUAAGUUUAAUUUUGGACCCUUUGGACCUCAAUGAAGACCAAUUUAAAAAACGGGACCCAAAUUAAAAAUCUAAAAACACGGUUAGAUUUGGCAUAUCAAAGAACCCCAAUAAUUCAAUUUUCGAUGAAAUCAAACAAAGUUUAAUUUUGGACCCUUUUGACCUCAAUAUGAACCAAUUUGAUAGCGGGGCCUACAAAUAAAAAAUCUAAAUACAUGGUUAGAUUCAGCAUAUCAAAGAACCUCAUAUAUUCAAUUUUUGUUGAAAUCAAACAAAGUUUAAUUUUGGACCCCAAUUUGGACCAACUUGAAAACUGGGCCCAUAAUCAAAAAUCUAAAUACAUGUUUAGAUUCAGCAUAUCAAAGAACCCCAUAUAUUCAAUUUUUGUUGAAAUCAAACAAAGUUUAAAUACUGGACCCUAUCUUGGACCAACAUGAAAACUGGGCCCAUAAUCAAAAAUCUAAACACAUGUUUAGAUUCAGCAAAUCAAAGAACCCCAAGAAUUCAAUUUUUGUCAAAAUCAAACUAAGUUUAAUUUUGGACCCUUUGGACCUCAAUGUAGACCAAUUUAAAAAACAGGACCCAAAAUUAAAAACCUAAAUACACGGUUAGAUUUGGAAUAUCAAAGAACCCCAAUAAUUCAAUUUUAGAUGAAAUCAAACAAAGUUUAAUUUUGGACCCUUUUGACCUCAAUAUGAACCAAUUAGAUAACGGGGUCCACAAAUAAAAAAUCUAAAUACAUGGUUAGAUUCAGCAUAUCAAAGAACCCCAUAUAUUCAAUUUUUGUUGAAAUCAAACAACGUUUAAUUUUGGACCACAAUUUGGACCAACUUGAAAACUGGGCCAAAAAUCAAAAAUCUAAAUACAUGUUUAGAUUCAGCAUAUCAAAGAACCUCAUAUAUUCAAUUUUUGCUAAAAUCAAACAAAGUUUAAUUUUGGACCCUUUGGACAUUAAUGUAGACCAAUUUGAAAACUGGACCCAAAAUUAACAAGAGUGCACACGCUGAAAUGUCUCGCCUUCUUUACUAAUCAUUGAUAUUAUGUUGAUAGUCCUAAAUAUAAAGCUUUAUUACAACUGUCACAUAAACUUAACAUUAACCAAGAAAACUAAACAUUGACCAAUGAACCAUGAAAAUGAGGUCAAGGUCAGAUGAACCAUGCUAGGCAGGCAUGUACAGCUAACAAUUCUUCCAUACAACAAAUAUAGUUGACCUAUUGCUUAUAGUUUAAGAAAAACAGACGAAAACACAAAAACUUAACACUGAGCAAUGAACCUUGAAAAUGAGGUCAAGGUCAAAUAAAACCUGCGUGACUGACAUAUAGAUCAUAAAAUAUUUCCAUACACCAAAUAUAGUUGAACUAUUGCAUAUAGUAUUAGAAAAAAAGACCAAAACUCAAAAACUUAACUUUGACCACUGAACCAUGAAAAUGAGGUCAAGGUCAGAUGACACCUGCCAGCUAGACAUGUACACCUUACAAUCAUUCCAUACACCAAAUAUAGUAGACCUAUUGCAUACAGUAUAAGAAAAACAGACCAAAACACAAAAACUUAACUAUAACCACUGAACCAUGAAAAUGAGGUCAAGGUCAGAUGACACCUGCCAGCUAGACAUGUACACCUUACAAUCAUUCCAUACACCAAAUAUAGUAGACCUAUUGCAUACAGUAUAAGAAAAACAGACCAAAACACAAAAACUUAACUAUAACCACUGAACCAUGAAAAUGAGGUCAAGGUCAGAUGACACCUGCCAGUUGGACAUGUACACCUUACAGUCCUUCCAUACACCGAAUAUACUAGACCUAUUGCUUAUAGUAUCUGAGAUAUGGACUUGACCACGAAAACUUAACCUUGUUCACUGAUCCAUGAAAUGAGGUCGUGGUCAAGUGAAAACUGUCUGACGGGCAUGAGGACCUUGCAAGGUACGCACAUACCAAAUAUAGUUGAACUAUUGCACAUAGUAUUAGAAAAAAAGACCAAAACUCAAAAACUUAACUUUGACCACUGAACCAUGAAAAUAAGGUCAAGGUCAGAUGACUCCUGCCCGCUAGACAUGUACACCUUACAAUCAUUCCAUACACCAAAUAUAGUAGACCUAUGGCAUACAGUAUAAGAAAAACAGACAAAAACACAAAAACUUAACUAUAACCACUGAACCAUGAAAAUGAGGUCAAGGUCAGAUGACACCUGCCAGUUGGACAUGUACACCUUACAGUCCUUCCAUACACCGAAUAUACUAGACCUAUUGCUUAUCUGCUUAUAGUAUCUGAGAUAUGGACUUGACCACCAAAACUUAACCUUGUUCAUUGAUCCAUGAAAUGAGGUCGAGGUCAAGUGAAAACUGUCUGACGGGCAUGAGGACCUUGCAAGGUACGCACAUACCAAAUAUAGUUGAACUAUUGCACAUAGUAUUAGAAAAAAAGACCAAAACUCAAAAACUUAACUUUGACCACUGAACCAUGAAAAAGAGGUCAAGGUCAAAUGACACCUGCCCGCUAGACAUGUACACCAUACAAUCAUUCCAUACACCAAAUAUAGUAGACCUAUGGCAUACAGUAUAAGAAAAACAGACCAAAACACAAAAACUUAACUAUAACCACUGAACCAUGAAAAUGAGGUCAAGGUCAGAUGACACCUGCCAGUUGGACAUGUACACCUUACAGUCCUUCCAUACACCGAAUAUACUAGACCUAUUGCUUA
Molecule: long non-coding RNA, 3205 nt
Organism: Mytilus californianus (California mussel)
Lineage: Eukaryota; Metazoa; Mollusca; Bivalvia; Mytilida; Mytilidae
Exons: 3
Source: RefSeq, a predicted model, not a curated record